CUGGCGUUCGUCGAUUUGAGAUCUAUUUUCAUCUCCAGGAUUGUCAAUUGUUAUGAGGGUUUCAGAUAAGGAUGAUGCUUGGCGAUUUGAUACACUGAGGUGAGGAUACGAAUGCAAAGACUGAAAAUAUGGACCAAGAUCCUGUUGAAAUGAAACCCAAGAAAAAAGCAGUCAGACGACAAGGUUACCCUGUUGAUCGAGAUAAUGGUGAGGUGAAGCAAAAGACAGGAAAGAAAAGAGGCCAAAAGAGUGCUGAGAGUGAAAAUUAUGAGGAAGAAAAUGGCUGACAAACUGUGGUAAAAGAAGAAAAAGAGAACGCAAACAAGCAAUCUCGCAGAUGUUGUACUCAGAUUCUAUUCCUUUGAACGGGUGAGCCAUACUUGGUGAUGUUGUAAGAACAAACAUCAUAUUCCAAUAACAAGAAAAUACGGGGUUAUUGCAUGUGCAUUGGAAAAAAUGGAAAUUUUCGAGUAUGUAAUGGAGAUUUUGGAUUCACACAAUAUCAGCCUCCGUGACUUGGAUAUUUAGGAUAUGAGAUGAGGAUUAUGAUGAGACUCCUGCUCUUAUUAUGGACGGGCCCUAAGGAAAGCGGUACAUGACUACAUAUAUACAUGGAUGUAUACCCUUUCAAAAAAAGGUACAAUUCUCGAGGGUGUACAAAGUAUGUUGAACUCCUAUAUAUUGUAAACAAUUGCUCAGACAUGUAUCUUAGCUUUGGGAAUAAUCUCUUAGACGUAUAGCGUAGCUUUGAAAUUUGUUUUCUUAAUCACAUGUAAGCCAUGAUGUGCAUGUAAAGAGAAUUAU
This is a long non-coding RNA of Papaver somniferum (opium poppy), 804 nucleotides long. RefSeq lists it as uncharacterized. Lineage: Eukaryota; Viridiplantae; Streptophyta; Magnoliopsida; Ranunculales; Papaveraceae. The transcript is spliced from 5 exons. The record is from RefSeq and is a predicted model, not a curated record.